This 684-nucleotide ribosomal RNA is filed under the name Plantibacter flavus. Its description in RNAcentral is "bacterial SSU rRNA". It matches the Rfam family "Bacterial small subunit ribosomal RNA", at positions 56 to 755 of the family's 1533-position model. The record is from RNAcentral. Lineage: Bacteria; Bacillati; Actinomycetota; Actinomycetes; Micrococcales; Microbacteriaceae.
UGCAGUCGACGAUGAAGCCCAGCUUGCUGGGUGGAUUAGUGGCGAACGGGUGAGUAACACGUGAGUAACCUGCCCUUGACUCUGGGAUAAGCGUUGGAAACGACGUCUAAUACCGGAUACGAGCUUCCACCGCAUGGUGAGUUGCUGGAAAGAAUUUUGGUCAAGGAUGGACUCGCGGCCUAUCAGCUUGUUGGUGAGGUAAUGGCUCACCAAGGCGACGACGGGUAGCCGGCCUGAGAGGGUGACCGGCCACACUGGGACUGAGACACGGCCCAGACUCCUACGGGAGGCAGCAGUGGGGAAUAUUGCACAAUGGGCGAAAGCCUGAUGCAGCAACGCCGCGUGAGGGACGACGGCCUUCGGGUUGUAAACCUCUUUUAGCAGGGAAGAAGCGAAAGUGACGGUACCUGCAGAAAAAGCACCGGCUAACUACGUGCCAGCAGCCGCGGUAAUACGUAGGGUGCAAGCGUUGUCCGGAAUUAUUGGGCGUAAAGAGCUCGUAGGCGGUUUGUCGCGUCUGCUGUGAAAUCCCGAGGCUCAACCUCGGGUCUGCAGUGGGUACGGGCAGACUAGAGUGCGGUAGGGGAGAUUGGAAUUCCUGGUGUAGCGGUGGAAUGCGCAGAUAUCAGGAGGAACACCGAUGGCGAAGGCAGAUCUCUGGGCCGCUACUGACGCUGAGGAGCG